AAGCCAUCGUUCUUCCUUCCCUCUCCCUUCCUCUCUUCCUCCCUCUCCCCUUUUACCUUCCUCCCUUCUCCUCAAUUUUCAGAGACAAAAGAUUUCCCUUAUUUGUCUUCAUUUUGUAAUGAUUUUCCUCCAUUCAGCAAAAGCAAAUGCUUCUUGAUGUUUGGAAUAAGUCGCUUAGAUUCUUUGGAUUUUAUGUGUAGUUUUCAUCUUUCCUUUUGUGAGAGUUUUUCACCUUUUGUUUGUGAGAUCUUUCCAGCUCUUCUUUGUGAGAGUUUGAUUUAUUUUGUUAUGGCUUGGUCUUUUUAAGCUUUAUAUAUUUUUGAUUGUUCUGAGUUUGCAAUCUUAGUUAGGAUGCCUGUAUCAGAGUUUCUUUGAUCAUGCGUGAUCGUCAAUGGAGGAACCCUAUAUUUUCUUAAUUUUGAUGUUAGAUUACUCUGUUAUUGUAAUGGCCCUUUGUGGCUAGUGGCUUUUUUGGUUAAAUUAUGAA
RNAcentral lists this long non-coding RNA (487 nucleotides) under Prunus dulcis (almond). RNAcentral describes it as "sRNA ncRNA". Lineage: Eukaryota; Viridiplantae; Streptophyta; Magnoliopsida; Rosales; Rosaceae. The record is from RNAcentral.